CCACCCUCAGGCCCCGCCUGGCGUUGGGGACCUGCGCGCGCGCAGCCCCCGAAAGACAGCGGCGGUCCCGGUCCCAGGCCCCGAGCGUAGUACCUUGCGCCGCUCCGGGCGCCUGGCGGGCGCCGGCCGUGACCCCCCACUCAGAA
Molecule: unclassified non-coding RNA, 146 nt
Filed under: uncultured Chaetosphaeriales
Lineage: Eukaryota; Fungi; Ascomycota; Sordariomycetes
Description: sequence contains ITS2
Source: RNAcentral